This 23-nucleotide non-coding RNA is filed under the name Cricetulus griseus (Chinese hamster). The record is from RNAcentral. Lineage: Eukaryota; Metazoa; Chordata; Mammalia; Rodentia; Cricetidae.
AUUGAUCACAACCAGUUACAGAU